This 114-nucleotide small nuclear RNA is filed under the name Myotis davidii. RNAcentral describes it as "U5 spliceosomal RNA". It matches the Rfam family "U5 spliceosomal RNA". Rfam says of the family: U5 RNA is a component of both types of known spliceosome. The record is from Rfam by way of RNAcentral. Lineage: Eukaryota; Metazoa; Chordata; Mammalia; Chiroptera; Vespertilionidae.
GCAUUCUGGUUUCUCUUCAGAGUCUACAAAUCUUUUGUCUUUUACUAAAGACUUCCAUGGAAAGGAAAAAUUAUAAGUUUGGAUACUCACCUGAGUUGAUAUUAAAAAAUAACA